AACGCACCUUGCGCUCCUUGGCAUUCCGAGGAGCAUGCCUGUUUGAGUGUCAUUAAUUUCUCAACCUUUCUAUUUUGUAAUGAAAUGUUGAAAGGCUUGGAUUGUGGGGGUUUGCUGGCUCUAGUAGUCGGCUCCUCUGAAAUGCAUUAGUGGAGACUUGUAGGCCAUCUCCCUUGGUGUGAUAAUUAUCUACGCCUUGGUUGACUACAAAAGCUUUGCUUUCUAAUCGUCGCAAGACAAUUAUCAAAUUUUGACCUCAAAUCAGGUAGGACUACCCGCUGAACUUAA
RNAcentral lists this unclassified non-coding RNA (288 nucleotides) under uncultured Cystostereum. Its description in RNAcentral is "partial contains 5.8S ribosomal RNA, internal transcribed spacer 2, and large subunit ribosomal RNA". The stretch from base 1 to 52 matches the Rfam family "5.8S ribosomal RNA", at positions 103 to 154 of the family's 154-position model. The record is from RNAcentral. Lineage: Eukaryota; Fungi; Basidiomycota; Agaricomycetes; Agaricales; Cystostereaceae.